Odocoileus virginianus texanus is the source of this 478-nucleotide long non-coding RNA. RefSeq lists it as uncharacterized. Lineage: Eukaryota; Metazoa; Chordata; Mammalia; Artiodactyla; Cervidae. The record is from RefSeq and is a predicted model, not a curated record.
GACAGGGAAAGAGAGAGAAUACUCCUGCUAACUUCUUGCAGUCUCUUCAGGACUCUCCUUUCAGAGAAACCUGAGUACUCUGGGUGAUAAGCAAUCCAGACAUACCGAAGCCUUCUCGGUUGUACUCUCUUGCUGAAGACUGGCAUCAACCAUUCAUGGAUAAAGGAAGCCCUGAAGUCAAUCCUAACACACCUACAUUGACCAUCAAGAAGGAAGAAAAACACCCAAAAUCCCGCAGAGUCUCCAAAAAUGUGGUGACCUUUUUACUUGAUAGGCAACUGGGGAGGCACAGAAAUGACGUGGAUUUGUCCAGAUGGGACGCUGACAUAAGCCACACACAGGAUAGAGUUGGCUAUUGUCAAAAAGUCAUAAUAUCUACCUACCAUGCCCAUAAGUUUAGGGAAAAAAGCAAAGAAAAAUUGGAAUAGCAAAAUCCUCCUUUGUUUCAGCUGUUAAAAUAAAAGCUGAAUUUUCACCC